This 514-nucleotide ribosomal RNA is filed under the name Escherichia coli. Its description in RNAcentral is "partial 23S ribosomal RNA". It matches the Rfam family "Bacterial large subunit ribosomal RNA", at positions 2429 to 2925 of the family's 2925-position model. The record is from RNAcentral. Lineage: Bacteria; Pseudomonadati; Pseudomonadota; Gammaproteobacteria; Enterobacterales; Enterobacteriaceae.
CUGAAUGGAAGGGCCAUCGCUCAACGGAUAAAAGGUACUCCGGGGAUAACAGGCUGAUACCGCCCAAGAGUUCAUAUCGACGGCGGUGUUUGGCACCUCGAUGUCGGCUCAUCACAUCCUGGGGCUGAAGUAGGUCCCAAGGGUAUGGCUGUUCGCCAUUUAAAGUGGUACGCGAGCUGGGUUUAGAACGUCGUGAGACAGUUCGGUCCCUAUCUGCCGUGGGCGCUGGAGAACUGAGGGGGGCUGCUCCUAGUACGAGAGGACCGGAGUGGACGCAUCACUGGUGUUCGGGUUGUCAUGCCAAUGGCACUGCCCGGUAGCUAAAUGCGGAAGAGAUAAGUGCUGAAAGCAUCUAAGCACGAAACUUGCCCCGAGAUGAGUUCUCCCUGACUCCUUGAGAGUCCUGAAGGAACGUUGAAGACGACGACGUUGAUAGGCCGGGUGUGUAAGCGCAGCGAUGCGUUGAGCUAACCGGUACUAAUGAACCGUGAGGCUUAACCUUACAACGCCGAAG